UAGCUGUGGAGCAAAUUCUGGGCUACAGGAAUUAGCCAUGGAGCAAAUUCUGAGCUGCAGGAAUUAGCUGUGGAGCAAAUUCGGAGCUACAUCCUUUGUUGUGUGGUAGAACCAAACAGAAAGGAGGGAGAGGUGAGAUUAAUUAAGUCUGAAGAAUUGUUUAUUCUUCUGGCCUUUGAUUUCAGAGCUGAAUGUAGGUUAUCAGGUGUGGUACCUUAGAGGGAAGAUGUGGAUACAGCUGUGUGUAUUCCAGACCUCCAGCUGCAUUUGGGUUCCAUCCUGAGGAAUGAUGGGAGCACAUAAACCCCAUCCUGGCUUAUACAGCACAGGUGAGGAUCAACCUCCUUCUUUUCCCCUCUUGGGACAGAACCCAUCAAGGAAAGGACCUUGAGACAGAGCUGAGCUGGAUCCAAGGCUCUUUGGUGUCCUGAAGCAGCCACCUCUGGGUCUCGCAGCCAGCAGAAUAAUUACCAGCAGAAAAUGUGGAUUGUAAUUUCACCUAAUGGUUGUAUUCACCAAGCAUUCACCUGUAUUUGUCACUGGCAGAAAUUUCUCGGUGACCUUUCCAAUGAAUCUGUUUACAACAAAACUGUGUGUGUCUGGUGAGAGAUCUGUGUCUCUCAUGUGAGCUCUGCCUCUGGCAAAGAUCUGCCAGAUCUGCCAGGCAAAGAUGUGGAGAAACUGGGGGAAAAAGCAUUGCUGGCUUAUUUUAGCCAGGAAGGUAAGAAGACAAAUGGAAGAUGUGGAGGUUUGGACUUUUUCUGUCAAAGGGUGAUGAAUGCAGUCAACAGAGGGCAAGACAUUGGCUUUGCCAAUCAAUCAUUCUCUCCAUCAGAACCACUUGGUCUCAUCUGAGACAAACUUCUUUGGCUUAAAUUCCUUCCUCUGUCAAAUUAAAGAGAAAGAAAUAUAUUUUCUAGACCCCAGUGGGAGGGAGUUUGGAGAUUAAUGAUCCAUAAACAAUAUGUGUAUAUUCCUGUGCCAUUUGCCCAGCGGGACCAGGUGUGGGAGGGUUGGUGGAUGUUGUCUGCUCUCACUGCUGGACCUCUUUGAAGCUUUUCCACAGCUAUGCCAGAGAAUAGCAUCACAAUUCUUGUUAGAAGAUGAUGGACACAAAAAAGCCAGUGAAGAAAGCUGCAUCAAGGGAUACCAGUGUUUUGUAGUUUCUCCCCAUACAACUGUUUUUGUGAGCUUUUAAUUCCAGAUCAGUUUGGUUCUAAGUUUCAGGUUUAAAUGAAAUUAAAUAUAAACACAUCCAAAAC
Non-coding RNA from Lonchura striata (white-rumped munia), 1262 nucleotides. NCBI's taxonomy places the organism in Eukaryota, Metazoa, Chordata, Aves, Passeriformes, Estrildidae. The record is from RefSeq and is a predicted model, not a curated record.